Molecule: ribosomal RNA, 497 nt
Filed under: uncultured bacterium
Lineage: Bacteria
Description: partial 16S ribosomal RNA
Rfam family: Bacterial small subunit ribosomal RNA
Source: RNAcentral
GACGAAGGCUGGCGGCGUGCCUAAUACAUGCAAGUAGAACGCUGAAGAGAGGAGCUUGCUCUUCUUGGAUGAGUUGCGAACGGGUGAGUAACGCGUAGGUAACCUGCCUUGUAGCGGGGGAUAACUAUUGGAAACGAUAGCUAAUACCGCAUAACAAUGGAUGACACAUGUCAUUUAUUUGAAAGGGGCAAUUGCUCCACUACAAGAUGGACCUGCGUUGUAUUAGCUAGUAGGUGAGGUAAUGGCUCACCUAGGCGACGAUACAUAGCCGACCUGAGAGGGUGAUCGGCCACACUGGGACUGAGACACGGCCCAGACUCCUACGGGAGGCAGCAGUAGGGAAUCUUCGGCAAUGGGGGCAACCCUGACCGAGCAACGCCGCGUGAGUGAAGAAGGUUUUCGGAUCGUAAAGCUCUGUUGUAAGCCAAGAACGGGUGUGAGAGUGGAAAGUUCACACUGUGACGGUAGCUUACCAGAAAGGGACGGCUAACUACGUG